CCUACGGGCGGCUGCAGUGGGGAAUAUUGCACAAUGGGCGCAAGCCUGAUGCAGCCAUGCCGCGUGUGUGAAGAAGGCCUUCGGGUUGUAAAGCACUUUCAGCGGGGAGGAAGGCGUUAAGGUUAAUAACCUUGGCGAUUGACGUUACCCGCAGAAGAAGCACCGGCUAACUCCGUGCCAGCAGCCGCGGUAAGACGGAGGGUGCAAGCGUUAAUCGGAAUUACUGGGCGUAAAGCGCACGCAGGCGGUCUGUCAAGUCGGAUGUGAAAUCCCCGGGCUCAACCUGGGAACUGCAUUCGAAACUGGCAGGCUAGAGUCUUGUAGAGGGGGGUAGAAUGCCAGGUGUAGCGGUGAAAUGCGUAGAGAUCUGGAGGAAUACCGGUGGCGAAGGCGGCCCCCUGGACAAAGACUGACGCUCAGGUGCGAAAGCGUGGGGAGCAAACAGGAUUAGAUACCCGUGUAGUC
This 465-nucleotide ribosomal RNA is filed under the name uncultured Klebsiella sp. RNAcentral's name for it is "bacterial SSU rRNA". It matches the Rfam family "Bacterial small subunit ribosomal RNA", at positions 338 to 795 of the family's 1533-position model. Lineage: Bacteria; Pseudomonadati; Pseudomonadota; Gammaproteobacteria; Enterobacterales; Enterobacteriaceae. The record is from RNAcentral.